Molecule: long non-coding RNA, 1085 nt
Filed under: Equus caballus (horse)
Lineage: Eukaryota; Metazoa; Chordata; Mammalia; Perissodactyla; Equidae
Description: lncRNA (ENSECAG00000051394.1)
Source: RNAcentral
GUAGGCAGAGGCACCUUGGAAGCGGGCUGUCUAGGUUAGAAGGGACCAAGAAGGCAAAUGACUCAACACUUUUUAUAAAUGAGUAACUGAGGCCGGGAAAGGGGAUGCCUCAUGCCGAUCCAGCCUAUCAUCUGUUGAGAUCACAGUCAUCUUUAUCAAAUACUGUACAACUGUCUGAAAACGCCCAGUUGGCUCCACAGGACAAGUCCAAACUUAGUGGCAUAAUUUUCCAAACAAUCUUGUUCAAACUUACUUUUCCCAUUUGAGUUCCGGUUUAAAGGUCUUGGUUUCCUAAAGGGGAACAUUUCUACCAGGGAACACAGCAAGAAUCUUCAUUGGACUUUAAGCUACACCACCACCCAGGCACUUUGGGUCUGUGGGGACUGGAAUCGGCCACCCCCAGGUUCCUCAUGCUAAGGACCAGCAGGCAAGAGAAAGAUCUGUCGACGAAAAUAAUCCAUAACCAAUCUGUAAAUGAAAAUUUGGAUCCUGGCGGGGGUAAUUGACUCCUAUCAAGAGGCGGUGGAACUGCUGUUUUACAACUUUCAGUACUGUCUUGUGCAAUUUUGAUGGCAAAUGGAUAAGCACAGCAGGUGCAGCCUGAGAGGAGCAUGGUAAACAGUAACUGGAACUCAUCAGUUUUGAGUGUCUGAGUCACUCCACUUGGUAAAACACUUAAACCUUCAGAGGUGCUAAUCAACAGUGAGGAAAAUCUGGAAUGGACAAGAGACAAGGGAGAGGAUGAAUAUAAGUUGCAGUCUCAAGACCAGCUGUAGGAGCAGAGAGGUUGUAGUUCAUCUUACUAAUCUUCCUUUUAUAAGUUUCCCCCAGGAAAGAGGUCCACCAAUGUACUGAAGGAGCUACUCUCAGAACUCAUAUGAAGAAAGUGGAUCUGAAUGGCACAAGGUCUGGACCAUCCCGGAAGCUAUGCUGCCCUUUCCAGACCACACCUGUCAGCCCUCUUAGAAAUUGCUUCAGCUGAAGAGAGCUGCUUUGCUCAGUCAGGUCCCCUCUGGGCAGCCAGUGUCCACUGACUAAUUGACACCCAAUCCUAUUUUCUUUUGUUCCACAGUUGUUGAUUGCAG